AACGUUCCGGGCCUUGUACACACCGCCCGUCACACCAUGGAAGUCUGCAAUGCCCAAAGCCGGUGGCCUAACCUUCGGGAAGGAGCCGUCUAAGGCAGGGCAGAUGACUGGGGUGAAGUCGUAACAAGGUAGCCGUAGGAGAACCUGCGGCUGGAUCACCUCCUUU
This 166-nucleotide ribosomal RNA is filed under the name Lactobacillus gallinarum. RNAcentral's name for it is "partial 16S ribosomal RNA". It matches the Rfam family "Bacterial small subunit ribosomal RNA", at positions 1367 to 1533 of the family's 1533-position model. Lineage: Bacteria; Bacillati; Bacillota; Bacilli; Lactobacillales; Lactobacillaceae. The record is from RNAcentral.